CAGCAGCCGCGGGAAUACGUAGGUCCCGAGCGUUGUCCGGAUUUAUUGGGCGUAAAGCGAGCGCAGGCGGUUUCUUAAGUCUGAUGUGAAAGCCCCCGGCUCAACCGGGGAGGGUCAUUGGAAACUGGGAAACUUGAGUGCAGAAGAGGAGAGUGGAAUUCCACGUGUAGCGGUGAAAUGCGUAGAGACGUGGAGGAACACCAGUGGCGAAGGCGACUCUCUGGUCUGUAACUGACGCUGAGGAGCGAAAGCGUGGGGAGCGAACAGGAUUAGAUACCCGCGUAGUCCCUGUCUCUUAUAC
This 301-nucleotide ribosomal RNA is filed under the name uncultured bacterium. RNAcentral's name for it is "partial 16S ribosomal RNA". It matches the Rfam family "Bacterial small subunit ribosomal RNA", at positions 509 to 807 of the family's 1533-position model. The record is from RNAcentral.